Phyllopteryx taeniolatus (common seadragon) is the source of this 995-nucleotide long non-coding RNA. RefSeq lists it as uncharacterized. NCBI's taxonomy places the organism in Eukaryota, Metazoa, Chordata, Actinopteri, Syngnathiformes, Syngnathidae. The transcript is spliced from 3 exons. The record is from RefSeq and is a predicted model, not a curated record.
CAUUUAGCACCCCUUCCCCCACCCCCAAUCCCAUGAUGCUCUGAUAACGCCCACAUGCACCCCUGAUGCCACCAUGCACCUGCAUCCAACCAUUCCAAGCACUCGUAUUAGAACGCGACGUGGUUGCUAAUCUGGCACCAGACAUGCAAGAUACGUUCUUUAAAUCGUCUUGGGCUGUACGUUAGCUUCACUGGGGACUAAAUUGUCUUUGGUGUUAUCAAAAAUAUGCCAAUGUGCCAAUCGCAGGGCACAUAUAAAUACACAUUCGCACACACAUUCACACCUACGGGCAGUUUAGAGUCUUCAAUCAACCUACCAUGCAUUGUUUGUGGGAUGUGGGAGGAAACCGGAGUGCCCGGAGAAAACCCACGCAGGCACAGAGAGAACAUGCAAACUCCACACAGGCGGGGCCGGGAUUUGAACCCCGGUCCUCAGAACUGUGAGGCAGACACGGCUUGGACUUGUUCCACCUGGCAGAAGGCUUUUACGCUAGCUGACUGAACGGAAGCGCAUCACUUCCUGCGUCACUUCCUGUCUUGACUUCCUACAACACUGAGCCUCUUCGCUCCCCAACAUUCAGCAUGAAGUCACAACAUCGCCUCAUUAUCUUGGUGGUCUGGAUGACGGGGGUCCGGCUGAGCGAAGACAUGAGGGUCUUCCAAACCCCCCGCGACAUUUUCAGGAGAGCGGACGACGUCAUACUGAGUUUCACGCACAUGCUCGCCAACCACGACACUUUUCUCAACAUCACUACAAAACCAUAACAGCUGCAGUUAUUCCAGUACUCAAGAAACCUUGUGCCGAUCCCAACAACUUCAACAAUAAAAUACAAAAAAAUAUAAAAAACACUUUAUAUAAUUCAUUGUUUUGACAGAUUUUAUUUUUAAAAAAAAUAAUCUGUAUAGAAUGUGCCAUAUGUUUAGGUUAUACUACAUUUUAUCAGUGAAAUUAAUAUUUUUAUUUUUUUCUUUUUCAAACAACAACAAAAAAAUUAA